GGGGCUGAUAUAGCUUUUGACAGAAGGAUUUUAAUAGUUCGCCAAGCAAGUCGACCACUGACGUAAUCAGUAUCAAUAAAUGCAAACUUUGCAGAAAAAGCAAAGGCGUUUGCUGCAUCUUUGAUGCCAAAGCAGGCCGCUUUUGCGACAGUUGCCUAAAUAGUAGGUAGCCAUAUUCUGCGCUGAUUUCUACUGAGCGCAAGAAUGUGUCAGAGAUUUUGUAGGACAAUACCAAAGCUUGUAUCGACUUUGGUUGGAUAGUAGAUACUUGCGGCUAUGCUUAUUUGUGACUGUUUUUGAGAGUAUAGACGCAUAAAAACAGCAAGAUAGUCUAAACUUGUAGACGGGCGAACGAUUACCUUUUGGACCCGGGGGCGGUACCCGGCAGCUCCACCA
This 396-nucleotide transfer-messenger RNA is filed under the name Candidatus Saccharimonadota bacterium. It matches the Rfam family "transfer-messenger RNA". Rfam says of the family: Bacterial tmRNA, also known as 10Sa RNA or SsrA, is named for its dual tRNA and mRNA-like properties. RNAcentral also lists the same sequence under 1 other name. The record is from RNAcentral. Lineage: Bacteria; Candidatus Saccharimonadota.